This is a long non-coding RNA of Cotesia glomerata, 783 nucleotides long. RefSeq lists it as uncharacterized. The transcript is spliced from 3 exons. Lineage: Eukaryota; Metazoa; Arthropoda; Insecta; Hymenoptera; Braconidae. The record is from RefSeq and is a predicted model, not a curated record.
UUGUUGGCUUCAAUUAUUUUAUUAUCAUUAGAAACUUUGCCACGAAGCAAUCCAAUUGAUUUAUCAAUUUAUUUAUUUAUUAUUGAACUUUAAAAUGUACAAAGUUUGUAUUUUAUUUUUGAUUGUAAUUUUUGCAAUAAUGGUAAUUGCUGAAGAAUGUAUUCCUUCUAAUCAGCAGUGCUCAACAAUUUCUCCACCAUGUUGCAGCGGAAAUUGCGUUCUUCAAGGCAAACAUUUCAGUAUUUGCGCUUAACAAUUUAUUCCUUCAAAAAUUAUGUAACUAAACAUAAAAAAUACCUUGCAAUAAAUAAAUAAAUAAAUAAAAAAUAAAACUUUCAAAAUUUAAUUUUCUUCUUGUCCAAUAAUAAUUACACAAAAAAAAAAAUAUAAUUUUAAUUUCAGCUAAUUUGUUAAAAGGGUAACAGUUCAAAGUGAUAAUUAAGUUUGUGAUAGUCUGUAAUUGAUAAUACUUGAUAUAAAUACAAGUAAAAUUAUAAAAUAAUAUUAUUUUGUACUCCAAAGUCGCAGAAUAAACUAAGUGGAAUAUUUCUCCAAUAUUUUUCAAUAUUAUAAUUUUUUUUCUCUAUUUUUUAUUAAGAAAAAUUUAAAAACAUGUUCAAAAUUCUCUUGUGCGUAUUAUUAAUUUCACUGAUUUUUAUCGUGACAUUUACUGAUGCAGAAUGCUCAAAAAAGGAUCAAGAUUGUGCGAUGCUUAGACCAGCGUGCUGCAGCGGAAUUUGUAUCCCUACAGGAAAAUCACUUGGAAAAUGUGCGUAAUUUAAA